CUCGGGUGUCGGCUAACGGUAAGCCAACUGCCUUUGAAGCAGUGGUAUUAAGGUAAAAUAUCUUACACCCGGGG
Molecule: transfer RNA, 74 nt
Filed under: Planctopirus ephydatiae
Lineage: Bacteria; Pseudomonadati; Planctomycetota; Planctomycetia; Planctomycetales; Planctomycetaceae
Description: tRNA-Gln
Rfam family: tRNA
About the family: Transfer RNA (tRNA) molecules are approximately 80 nucleotides in length. Their secondary structure includes four short double-helical elements and three loops (D, anti-codon, and T loops).
Source: RNAcentral